GACGAACGCUGGCGGCGUGCUUAACACAUGCAAGUCGAACGGCAAGGCCCUUCAGGGUACACGAGUGGCGAACGGGUGAGUAACACGUGGGUGAUCUGCCCUGCACUUCGGGAUAAGCCUGGGAAACUGGGUCUAAUACCGGAUAGGACUCCUGGCUUCAUGGUUGGGGGUGGAAAGCUUUUGCGGUGUGGGAUGGGCCCGCGGCCUAUCAGCUUGUUGGUGGGGUAAUGGCCUACCAAGGCGACGACGGGUAGCCGGCCUGAGAGGGUGACCGGUCACACUGGGACUGAGAUACGGCCCAGACUCCUACGGGAGGCAGCAGUGGGGAAUAUUGCACAAUGGGCGCAAGCCUGAUGCAGCGACGCCGCGUGAGGGAUGACGGCUUUCGGGUUGUAAACCUCUUUCAGCUAUGACGAAGCGCAAGUGACGGUAGUAGCAGAAGAAGGACCGGCCAACUACGUGCCAGCAGCCGCCGUAA
Molecule: ribosomal RNA, 478 nt
Filed under: uncultured bacterium
Lineage: Bacteria
Description: partial 16S ribosomal RNA
Rfam family: Bacterial small subunit ribosomal RNA
Source: RNAcentral